GGUCAUUCUAUAAAAAAAGAAAAAAAGAUUUUAUCCCAGCAAACAGUAAGGAUGUCUGACCUCGUUUUUGGCUACAAAGAUUGCAUUAAACAUAGGAACGUUUUCAUCAAACCUACUGUCAUCGUUACUUCAUAGUAUUAAUAUUAAAUCCGUGUCUAUUCGAUUAUGAGAAUUGCACGCACAUCCCUGGAUGGCGCAAGCGUCUUUCUCGAAAGAGGACAAGGGCGGCACGUCGAAAAUACGUCGAUGAAUUAGGUGCCUAUGGGAGUUGCUUCAUUCUUUCUCGAAAAUAUUUACGUCGCCAGAUUUCCUUUCGCUUGUAGAUCACGUAGCCUCCGAAACGACCUUAUUAGGUACCACAAGUUAAAUACGUAAGGACAGGAAUCGGAGAAAACCAGUGAUACGUACUUAAAACAUUUUUUCAAUUACCGAUGGCUUAAACGAUGUUACAAUAGGUAUACCUUUAAGUAAUCGAUCAUCGAUCGACCGUGUCUCGAUUACGCGUCUGCGCAUUACGCAAGAGAUGUUCACGCGGACGCAUGGUCGGCGUGAUUUGAAAAGAAAAAUGUUCGAACAAACGACUUUCUCUCAUCUCGUGAUCCUUCCUUGAUGCUAGCAGCUUCUUUCGAUGGAGUAAAUCGGACUGGAACUGUGUCACGAACAUCACGAAGAAAUACGAUGAGAUAUAUAACUGAAUUGCGCAACGAACGGAUUUCCAUUACCAGCAGAGUUAUAUCAGGUGCAAUGAAUAAUGCAAAGGUCAACUUCUACUAACACGAAGAGGAAUAUACGUACUUUAAAGGAAAGGGAAAUGAAAAUGCAAUAAUUUACUUGAAUUAAUAUGCCUCAUAAAUAUGGAUAAAAUGAUCACGGAAGUUCACCCCGGUACUAAUUACAACAAGACUUUACUGAUUUUCCAACGAAGUACUUUCAUAAUCAGUGAUGGAAACCUUAGGCUGUCGAUG
Osmia lignaria (orchard mason bee) is the source of this 965-nucleotide non-coding RNA. Lineage: Eukaryota; Metazoa; Arthropoda; Insecta; Hymenoptera; Megachilidae. The record is from RefSeq and is a predicted model, not a curated record.